CCGCACGCGCGCUACACUGAUGAAGGCAGCGAGUUUUUUACUUGCUAACCUUGGCCGGAAGGUCUGGGUAAUCUUUUGAAACUUCAUCGUGCUGGGGAUAGAGCAUUGUAAUUAUUGCUCUUCAACGAGGAAUUCCUAGUAAGCGUGAGUCAUCAGCUCGCGUUGAUUACGU
This 172-nucleotide ribosomal RNA is filed under the name uncultured eukaryote. Its description in RNAcentral is "partial 18S ribosomal RNA". It matches the Rfam family "Eukaryotic small subunit ribosomal RNA", at positions 1487 to 1650 of the family's 1831-position model. The record is from RNAcentral.